Molecule: long non-coding RNA, 844 nt
Organism: Poecilia latipinna (sailfin molly)
Lineage: Eukaryota; Metazoa; Chordata; Actinopteri; Cyprinodontiformes; Poeciliidae
Exons: 3
Source: RefSeq, a predicted model, not a curated record
UCCCAAGCCGGCUGGCAGUGCGCUCCUGUCGGCUGCGGCUGCUGGAGAUCCCCCGGUGCGCAGGACGGAGCCCAUGCGCAGCGCUGCCUGCCUGGAUGCGUGGCUGGCUGCGUGAUAAAUGCGGGAGUGCGGCCACCUAGCUCACAGCUGCUGCGGCUGCAGGAGCGAGCAGAAACUCUGAGCGCACAACUAAAGCUGGAAGAAGCAGAAAAUAGACGAGACGCUUUGAUUGACUGGCGGUUUGAUGCGGUGAUUGGCUGCUUUCAUCCGCGAUCAUUAGGAAACAAACACAGGUUUUUCUUCCCAUCAACUCUGACCCACAGCAUGAUGCUGCCACCGCCAUGUUCCUCAGCUUGGAAGUCGCAGCAUGAAGGAGACCAUCUAGACGGCGCAGGAACCCGGACCACGCUGAUUUGUUUUGAAAAGCAUUACAAGCAUGACCACAACUGAGACGUAGCUGGAAACUCAGAAAGUGUGGUGAAAGUUUUCAGCCCCGAUUCAGACCAGCUUUCUUCCUGCUCUGAAUCAGUGCUAAUAAAAACACACACAUUUAAACACAAAGGCCCUGCAGGAAAGCUGUGCAAGCAAACACACACACACACACACACACACACACACACACACACACACACAUCCCCUCUGUGGUCCAAACAGCGUGUUUUUGCCAAACACCUGUGUAAUCGUCCAGCUGUGGGGAAUGGUGGGAAGUGAGGAGGGAGAACUGGAUGCCACACAGCUAACAGCUAACGGCUAACGGCUAUUAGCUGCAGCUAAACAGCAAGACUUUUGUUGUCAAUGUUUGAUUCUCAAAUGUGACGUUAAUGGAUUAAACUGUUCAUUUCCU